CCUACGGGAGGCAGCAGUAGGGAAUAUUGGGCAAUGGAGGCAACUCUGACCCAGCCAUGCCGCGUGCAGGAAGACGGUCCUCUGGAUUGUAAACUGCUUUUGAAUGGGAAGAAUGUGCUCCUUGCGAGGGGUAAUGACGGUACCAUUAGAAUAAGCCACGGCUAACUACGUGCCAGCAGCCGCGGUAAUACGUAGGUGGCGAGCGUUAUCCGGAUUUAUUGGGUUUAAAGGGUGCGUAGGCGGCUUAAUAAGUCGGUGGUUAAAAGUAGCAGCUUAACUGUUUUACAUGCCAUCGAUACUGUUGAGCUUGAGAUAUUUGGAGGCAGCUAGAAUUUCCGGUGUAGCGGUGAAAUGCAUAGAUACCGGAAGGAAUACCAAUUGCGAAGGCAGGUUGCUACGAAUAAACUGACGCUGAUGCACGAAAGCGUGGGGAUCAAACAGGAUUAGAUACCCUGGUAGUCCACGCCGUAAACGAUGAUUACUAGUUGUUGGGGUUUAAGCCUUCAGUGACCAGGGAACCGAUAAGUAAUCACCUGGGGAGUACGCGGCAACGGUGAAACUCAAGGAAUUGACGGCNGAGAGNGCGAGCGACGACGAGGGAGAG
RNAcentral lists this ribosomal RNA (604 nucleotides) under uncultured bacterium. RNAcentral's name for it is "bacterial SSU rRNA". It matches the Rfam family "Bacterial small subunit ribosomal RNA", at positions 338 to 945 of the family's 1533-position model. The record is from RNAcentral.